GCCACCUUCAGCAAAUAUUUGUACUCCAUUCCUUCAUUCAUUUAUUGUGGAGGAGUGUAUAGAAGAACUAAUUUAAUAUAAAGUUAGAUUUUUUCUGUAGUUAUAAGGUGUCGUGUGGGAAUUUUUACCAUUUUGUAUCUUUUCAUAAGGGUUUCAUGGGGAUGCCCUUAUUUAGUUAUUAUUUUUUUUUCCUAACUUGUUUGGAUUUUCCCGAAGCUUGAACUGCUGCAUUUAAUUAAUGGAAUUUUUUUUCCCAUUUUGCUUAAUUUUAUUAUUUUUCCUUUGGAAUUGUUUACUGUGUUUGGAGUUGUUUACUGUGUUUUUAUCAUUUUCAAAUCACUCUUGAACUUAUCUUGUGUAGGGCAUUUAUAAAGAAGAAAGG
RNAcentral lists this unclassified non-coding RNA (382 nucleotides) under Hevea brasiliensis (rubber tree). Lineage: Eukaryota; Viridiplantae; Streptophyta; Magnoliopsida; Malpighiales; Euphorbiaceae. The record is from RNAcentral.